CGAAUUGGAGGUCAUGUUUGGGAUUUCUUCAUUUCCAAUUUCAGCUAGGUAAGGGAUAUUAUUUUAGCAAACUCUAGAAAUUUUAUUUGGGAUUUCUGAGAUUAAGCAUGUUUAUGGAAAUGAUGAUGUGGAGAAAAUAAUUAUUUGGAAGCAUGAAAUUAUGGAACAAGAGGAAAAAAUUAAUUAGUUGAAUUAUAGCAACUUCUUGUCACUUGAAUGAUGUGGAUGUCAUAGUGAUGUUUGGAAGUGAAGGUUAUGUUGAUAAAUUAGUUAUUAGUCAAUGGAUUAUAAAGUGUGAUUAGCUCCAAUUAAUGAAGGAAAAUUUGAGAACUUAUUCAAGUGUCCAAAAAAUUUAAUUUCAAGUUCUAUCAUUAGAUAUUAAGGUUUUUUGAUUAGAUAGAGGAUAAAUUGGUAAUUAAUAUCGUAUUUCAGGUGGUGGCGAGGAAAUUGGAAACGUUUAUCAACCAAUCUAACUUGUAGCUCCUACCUUGUGAGUGGAUAAAACUUAUUUUUCAGAAAUAAGUCUUCUUUAAAUUUUAAAGUUAUUUAUUUUAUAAAGUUUACUUCAUAGCAUGAUUUUCACAAUAAAAUGGAUUUUAUUAUCAAUUGCUUUUAAAGUUAAAUUCAGUUCAGUUAAAUUAUUCUAGUAGCAUGUUAUAUUCUUAUUACAUGUUUCAGUAUAGUUAAAGUUAUUUCUAAAAAUCACCAGAAAGUACCCAUUUAAUUUUACCCCAGUUUGCACUGAUGUGAAUGUGUUUCCACAGUGUAUGACUAAUUAUGGUGAUUUUACUUGCUCUGCACUAUUGUGAAUGUAUUUUCAUAGUGUAUGACCAGAUUAUCAGAGGUCUUUGGGACCCACUCUCGUACACACAUAGGCUUUUACCCCAGUUUACACUGAUGUGAAUGUAUUUCCACAGUGUAUGACUAAUUAUGGUGAUUUUACUCGCUCUGCACUAUUGUGAAUGUGUUUCCAUAGUGUAUGACCAGAUUAUCAGAGGUCUUUGGGACCCACUCUCGUACACACAUAGGCUUUGGGCCGUGUACUAGGGUGAUUAGCCUUUGGGGCAGCUCUGCGUACGUAUGACCAGAUUAUCAGAUUUGAAUGGCUUUACUUUGUACAUCGAGAUUACUCUGUACAUGUGUAAGACUAUUCAUUGGGUACUCUUUAUGGUGUGAUUUUUCAGUAUUUAUUCAGUUCUCAGAUUUCAGAUUAUGGAAGUCAGUUAAUUCAGUUUUCAGAAUAAAGCUUUUAGCUUUUACUAUUGAGCAGCAGCAAUAUUUCAUAUAUUUUCAUGAAUAUCAAAUUCUUUAUAUUUGCUAUUCUCACAGAUACUUAUCUAGAAUUUAGAAUAAAGAAUUUUAUAAUAAAAUCAUGUUUAGUUUUUAAAAGUAUUACUAGAUUCAGAAAUUCUCAAGGAUUUAAUAAAUUUAAAAUUUUUAGAAAAUAUGCAUAAAUAGAAAAAGUUUACUUAUUUGCAAAUCAUCCACUCACUGAGUUACAAACUCAUAUUUUUGUCAUGUUUUUCCUAUCAGGAGACCGUUGAUUUUUGAGAUACUGGGAAAAGUCUGCUGAAGCCAAAGAGACAGUUUCAUAGUAUGUAAUGUAUAGUUGGAGAACUCAUGUUUAUUAAGUACUUGUCUAAUAUUUGGUGUGUCAUGCACUUCGUAGAAAGGUUGGUAAUUGAUGUAAUGCUUGCAUGUUGACAUGAUGAUGUUGUAGAAGCACUCAGUCGAAUUUUGUUAUAUUUUGUAGUAGUUGUGGUGGUAUUAGAGGAAGUGGUGGUUUUCAAAACUUUUGGUUUAAAUGUCUAUUUGAG
This 1817-nucleotide long non-coding RNA is filed under the name Olea europaea subsp. europaea. The record is from RNAcentral. Lineage: Eukaryota; Viridiplantae; Streptophyta; Magnoliopsida; Lamiales; Oleaceae.